RNAcentral lists this transfer RNA (77 nucleotides) under Acidobacteriota bacterium. RNAcentral describes it as "Acidobacteria bacterium tRNA-Ile". It matches the Rfam family "tRNA". From Rfam's summary of the family: Transfer RNA (tRNA) molecules are approximately 80 nucleotides in length. Their secondary structure includes four short double-helical elements and three loops (D, anti-codon, and T loops). RNAcentral also lists the same sequence under 3 other names. Lineage: Bacteria; Pseudomonadati; Acidobacteriota. The record is from RNAcentral.
GGGCCUGUAGCUCAGUUGGCUAGAGCGCACCCCUGAUAAGGGUGAGGUCGGUAGUUCGAUUCUACCCAGGCCCACCA